CAGCCGCCACGGUAAUACGUAGGUGGCAAGCGUUGUCCGGAAUUAUUGGGCGUAAAGCGCGCGCAGGUGGUUUAAUAAGUCUGAUGUGAAAGCCCACGGCUCAACCGGGGAGGGUCAUUGGAAACUGGGAAACUUGAGUGCAGAAGAGGAGAGUGGAAUUCCACGUGUAGCGGUGAAAUGCGUAGAGAUGUGGAGGAACACCAGUGGCGAAGGCGACUCUCUGGUCUGUAACUGACGCUGAGGAGCGAAAGCGUGGGGAGCGAACAGGAUUAGAUACCCCUGUAGUCCCUGUCUCUUAUAC
This 301-nucleotide ribosomal RNA is filed under the name uncultured bacterium. Its description in RNAcentral is "partial 16S ribosomal RNA". It matches the Rfam family "Bacterial small subunit ribosomal RNA", at positions 509 to 807 of the family's 1533-position model. The record is from RNAcentral.